UGCGGGGUAGCGCAGCGGCAGCGCGCCGGGCUCAUAACCCGAGAGGACGCCGGUUCGAGUCCGGCCCCCGCCAC
This 74-nucleotide transfer RNA is filed under the name Phytohabitans aurantiacus. RNAcentral describes it as "Micromonospora sp. RD004123 tRNA-Met". It matches the Rfam family "tRNA". Rfam says of the family: Transfer RNA (tRNA) molecules are approximately 80 nucleotides in length. Their secondary structure includes four short double-helical elements and three loops (D, anti-codon, and T loops). Further hydrogen bonds mediate the characteristic L-shaped molecular structure. tRNAs have two regions of fundamental functional importance: the anti-codon, which is responsible for specific mRNA codon recognition, and the 3' end, to which the tRNAs corresponding amino acid is attached (by aminoacyl-tRNA synthetases). tRNAs cope with the degeneracy of the genetic code in two manners: having more than one tRNA (with a specific anti-codon) for a particular amino acid; and 'wobble' base-pairing, i.e. permitting non-standard base-pairing at the 3rd anti-codon position. The record is from RNAcentral. Lineage: Bacteria; Bacillati; Actinomycetota; Actinomycetes; Micromonosporales; Micromonosporaceae.